UCUAGUAUUUUGAGGGAAAAGUAGGUGAAGUAGUUAGUUGCAGAGGGCUGCCUGUUUAGAAGCCAGGACAGAAAUGAGCCUUUUCCGCUCAUGAGUUGUCAUGAGGCCUGCUGUGUUUACCAUCAAUUAAGAGGUAGGUAUAUUUCUAACCUGCUGCUUGAUGCUCUUUUCUUACAGUUAACUAAGACAGUGUCCAGAUUUUACUGUGCUGGCGUCGCCACCGGUAGCCUAGGUAUUUUACAUGGCGCGAAUGCAGAGCUCAGCAGGUUAGCUGGAGUGGGGUCUACGGUAACCUGCUGUUAAGCCACAUCAUUUCAGGUUGCAUGAUGGCAGAGACACUUACUGAAGUUAUUACCUUUUUGAGGCAGAGAGGCGUCUCAGAAGAAGUCAUUGAAUUAAUGGAAAAGCAAAAGAUUGACAGAGAUGUCAUCAUUCUAAUGGAAGAUGCAGAACUGGCCGAUUACCUCCCCUCAUAUGGAGACCGAAUUGCUUUGUUCAAUUUUUGCAGGCGGAAGACAACCUCCUCAAAACGAAAGUUGGGUCUUUUUGAAAAACUGAGGGAAAAACUCAAAGUUAGGAAGGAAAAAGACCAAGGUGAGGAGGAGCCACAAAGUUCAAACAAAGUGCAUCGAGCAAAAAAGUCAAAACGCAUGGUUGAAAUCGGAUGGGUUCACACGGACAGUAAUAUCACAAAACAGAUCAGAGCAAAACAAGGUGGAGG
This is a long non-coding RNA of Astyanax mexicanus (Mexican tetra), 721 nucleotides long. RefSeq lists it as uncharacterized. The transcript has 3 exons. NCBI's taxonomy places the organism in Eukaryota, Metazoa, Chordata, Actinopteri, Characiformes, Acestrorhamphidae. The record is from RefSeq and is a predicted model, not a curated record.